Corticium candelabrum is the source of this 1297-nucleotide long non-coding RNA. RefSeq lists it as uncharacterized. The record is from RefSeq and is a predicted model, not a curated record. Lineage: Eukaryota; Metazoa; Porifera; Homoscleromorpha; Homosclerophorida; Plakinidae. The transcript has 3 exons.
CACAAACAGCGAGACCAUCGUUUUGAAGUGUAUGGAUUGAUGUCAUUGACUUAAUGCUUUCAUGAUUAGCUGUUCCAGCGGUUGCUAGAGUCAAUACCCUGCGAGUCCACAACAGAGCUGUUUUUGCCAUGCUUGGUACAGCCGCUACAGCUUUCGAAACGUUUGGACAAAACUUUCCAACUAAUGGCAGAAGAACUUGUUCCGGAGAAAAGACUGGCAUUUGGGUAGAGAUCAUGGAAUCACUUCCCACAAAAUUGAAAAUAAAAAUGUGCUUGACUAAUUCACGUCUUGCCCAAAAAAUUAAAGAUCAGGCUGCACCGAAAAAGUCCUUGGUUUAGGGUAACCUAACGCAAAAUCAUGGUCAGUCAGUCAGAUUCUUAUUUUCUUCAAUCUUUUUCCAUUUACAAAUGCAUACAUUAAAUUCUGUCAGAGUAAACUUUCUUGUUCCUCUUGUAUUGGUGGUUGCAAAGACAAUUUUCCAGACGUAAGUAAUAGCACAGAACACAGAGGAGAAAGGAAAAACAUGCAAUUGAUAUUAGACUAUGCAGUCAUGCAGAUCAAUAACAUCAGCAACCAGACAAUCCAUGCCGGUGGCUGGGAAAGCUGCUGCUCCUACGCAUUCUGCAUCAACACGUCGUUUGCACUUUCAGCCGGAAGUUGUUUACAAGUCAAUGCUGUGGCAGCCUAUACGGUAAAAAUACGUGAUGUCUACAAAACUCUAAAUGCAAUCCAACAUUGUCAUCUGGCACUGCAUCAUAGUGAGUUCCUGAAUCUGAUGUUGUCUGCACAGACAUCAGCCGCCAUGCAUCGUCGUCUGACACAUGACUCUUCGACCCGCAGAAUUCUAGAAUUAACAAUGGAAAGGCCAUUAUCCAGAACCGUGACCGAAAUUGAAGGUAUGGCACGUAUUCUAGUAGCUGUAGUCAGUGUUUCUGCUGGGAAUUUUUGAUUAUUAUUAUUAGCCAAUUGGCUAAAGGUGUUUGAUCGUUUGUAGUCAAGUGCUUUAUUUCAGAGCCAAGAAAAAAAUUGCCCAAACAUCAAACAUAUAACAAUCUCAACAACAAGAACUAUUGAUUCAAGUUUAACCUGGUAGGACAGACAGGCAACAUUUACUAAUGGUCAAUCACAACAAAUGCAGUACUAAUCUGGCACAUGUCAUACUCAAUAGAAUGUGACUUUGGAAAGACAAAGUCUACAAACCAGACUUCAAGCAUUCAUUGUCAUCCUGCCUGGUUUUAAUUUAUACCAAAAUUUAAAAGCUCUGCCAAAAUCAAAGUCUUGAAGUUCUAGCCCUUCU